AAUGGAUCAUUAUUCGUACAA
This 21-nucleotide ribosomal RNA is filed under the name Lactarius sanguifluus. RNAcentral describes it as "partial 18S ribosomal RNA". The record is from RNAcentral. Lineage: Eukaryota; Fungi; Basidiomycota; Agaricomycetes; Russulales; Russulaceae.